AAAGCUUUAAAAAGUCAUAAAAAAGAAAAGAAAAGUCAGUUUAGCAUGUUGAAAAAAGUGCGAAAAAAGCGAUAGUAUAUUACAUGGAAAAAACUAAUAGGUCAUAGUAGGGUAUGAUGAAAAAAGCUAUAAAAAGUCUUAGUACAGUAUGUUGAAAAAAGUCAUAAAGGCAGAGUAUGUGAAAAAAAUGACGAAAAAGAAAAAAUCUGUAUAGUAUGUCGGAAAAACCUCAUAGUACAGAAUGUCAAUAAAAGGGAAAUAGUACAUUAUGUUUCUAAAUGUAUUUAAAUGAAACACCUAUAUACUAUGCAGGUGCACACACACAUUACAACACUUCAGGACACAAGUCUCACCACACACGUUCAUGCAAGCUUCAGCCGAUCCGUGAGGGAGCCGUCAGGUUAAGGGAGGCAGUGUGGCCCACAUUAGUGAUUAGCAGAAGAUAGCAGAAAUGAUUACCUAGUGCCAACGUAACAUUAUCUAACAGACCGUGGAAGCGUCGCGGAUGUAUUUUUGAACGACUAAAGUACUGAAGGAGGUCUUCUUGCCGGGGUCAGGCGAAAAUGCAUUCUAGCAUUUCUGUUAAUCAGAAAUUGAUGAGUCGAUCAAUGUUAAACUUGUAUUUCAUUGUUGCCUCGUCAGUCAUGAAUAUAUAAAUAUAUAGACUGUUGUUGAGAAGUGCAUCUGGUGAAGAUAUUUCCCACAAUUCCUUACCUUUGUCAGACUUGUCCUCAGUUCCUGAUCCCGAGUGGCUUCCAGAGCUGGACUGGCUCCCUGCGGAGGAGGGCAGGGCCAGCAGGCCCCUGAGUUCUUCGUUACCGUGGGUGAGGUCUCCGCCCUCCGAGCUGUUGAGCGAGUCGCUGAGGGCCGAGAGGGAAGAGGAGGUGCUCUUGGUCUCGCUGAGGGGACUUCUUGAGCUCAGACCUGGACACAAGACGACAGAACGUAGUCACAGACGCUGCAGCAGAGCGAGAACAUCCACUGCUCCUUGUCCACAUGGAGCGACAUGUGGCUGACAAACUGGGCAUUCAGCUCCGUCUGGAAAUCACACACAUGGCAGCUGGACAAGAGAACAGAGAGGAAGAGGAAGAUGGCGAGAACAACCGUCAGCUUUAGUGUUAUAUUAUGUCUGCAUAAAUUGGUACGUGGUACAGAGUGGAUACAUUUCUAUUCAUUUGUUAGACAAUCGAAAAUAAAAUAUUUCCUCACUGCA
This is a long non-coding RNA of Anarrhichthys ocellatus (wolf-eel), 1213 nucleotides long. RefSeq lists it as uncharacterized. NCBI's taxonomy places the organism in Eukaryota, Metazoa, Chordata, Actinopteri, Perciformes, Anarhichadidae. The transcript is spliced from 2 exons. The record is from RefSeq and is a predicted model, not a curated record.